Molecule: ribosomal RNA, 407 nt
Filed under: uncultured bacterium
Lineage: Bacteria
Description: partial 16S ribosomal RNA
Rfam family: Bacterial small subunit ribosomal RNA
Source: RNAcentral
GACGAACGCUGGCGGCGUGCCUAAUACAUGCAAGUAGGACGCAGUUGCGAACGGGUGAGUAACGCGUAGGUAACUACCUAUUAGAGGGGGAUAACUAUUGGAAACGAUAGCCAAUACCGCAUACUAGUAGAUGGAUCUGCGUUGUAUUAGCUAGUAGGUAGGGUAACGGCCUACCUAGGUAACGAGACAGAGCCGACAUCGUAGGGGUAUCGACGACACUGGGACGUGGACCCGGCCCAGACUCCUACCGGAGACAGCAGAAGGGAUGCUUCGGCAAUGGGGGGAAAGCUGACCGAGCAACGCCACGUGAGUGAAGAAGGUUUUCGGGUCGUAAAGCUCUGUUGUUAAGGAAGCGGUACUUAACCAGAAAGGGACGGCUAACUACGUGCCAGCGGCCGCGGUAAUAC